UUAACUCAAAUUUGUAUGGAGUUGGAACGUUUUUCCACGUUUGCCGCUAGGGGCGCUGUUCCAACUCCAUACAAAUAUGAGUUA
Bombyx mori (domestic silkworm) is the source of this 84-nucleotide non-coding RNA. NCBI's taxonomy places the organism in Eukaryota, Metazoa, Arthropoda, Insecta, Lepidoptera, Bombycidae. The record is from Rfam.